CCUGGCCAUCUGGCACAGCACUGCGAGGGCCAGUCUAGCUGCAGAGGACCUGAGAGGUCAGCCCAGGCUCCCUUCCUUAGGGCGGAUCCUAGGGCUCUCCUUACUAAACAUCCCAUACUCACAACUCCUUUCCCAAAUCGGUUUCCCAGAGAACCCCAGUGCUUUCAUGUGGUUGCAGAUAUUGCCAAGAAUGAAAGCACAUCGGCUUGGUAUCCUAGGACUAGUAUGCCAGCUAAACAACGAUAAAGGAGCUACAAAUCCCGGUUUCCACAGGGUCUUUUUACCCCCUCUGUCAACUGCACAGCCACUUUCUUGAUAAACCAGACAAAGCAGCAAAGGGUGCCUUGUGAACUCUUCAAAGUGAAGACUCAAUUCUGGCAACAAACACAACAGAAACAGUGGCAGCAGCAAGGGGAACCCUUCCUGUAGAAUGACCUAGAAUCUCACCUUUCAAGCUGUGAAUCCCUCUCUUCCCUUAUUAAUAUAUCAACAUGGCACCAACUCUUCUAUUUCAAUAAACUAAUUUUAAUAGUAGAGCAAACUUGGUUGAAAAUUUUUUUCUAUUUUAUUUUGGUAAGAACACUUAACAUGACAUCUACCCUCCUAACAACUUUUUGAGUUGACCAUACAUUAUUGCUGACUACAGGUACCAUACUGUAUAGCUGAUCUCUAGAGUCCGUUCACCUUGUCUGACUGAAACUUCAUGCCUUUUUGUCAAUAACUCCCUAUUUCCCCCUUCCCCUAGCUCCUGGUAACUGUCAUUCUACUCUUGGAUUCUACGAAGUUGACUCUUUUGGAUGCCUCAUGUAAAGUGGAAUUGGGUAGUAUUUGUCUUUCUGUGGCUGGUAUAUCACACUUCGUUUCAUUUCUAUUGAUUCAUUUCACAGAACCAGACCCAAGCUUCCAGGGGCUGUGUGUGUGCAUUCACCAUUGUAUAUUCUGUGGUCAUGACAAUACCUGGCACGUAUAAGGCAGUCAAGAAUAUUUGUGGAUUAAGAAACUUGCUCAUCGGUGUUAUAAUAUAAAAUCAUUUUUAAUAUGUCCAAUGGUUUGGGGAUAAUGGUGUUCUUUUACAGCUCUCCACCCUCUUCUCACCC
Molecule: long non-coding RNA, 1097 nt
Filed under: Papio anubis (olive baboon)
Lineage: Eukaryota; Metazoa; Chordata; Mammalia; Primates; Cercopithecidae
Description: lncRNA (ENSPANG00000040182.1)
Source: RNAcentral